Molecule: microRNA, 20 nt
Filed under: Solanum tuberosum (potato)
Lineage: Eukaryota; Viridiplantae; Streptophyta; Magnoliopsida; Solanales; Solanaceae
Description: stu-miR167a-3p
Gene: stu-miR167a-3p
Source: miRBase by way of RNAcentral
GAUCAUGUGGCAGCCUCACC